CUUAGUGGCCUUGCCGACGGUCCCGGUGGGCGAGAGCCUCCGGGUGAAAAGGGAAUGCGGUCUGGACAGCGGUGCUGUCCGAUGCCGCAGCUGCCCCCGCAACUGUAGGCGGCGAGCCCUCGCCAAGAUGCCACUGGCGUUAGUGCCAUCUCUUUAGAGGUGGAGCGGCCGGGAAGGCGGCGGGGGGCGGCGGACGGCGUCAUGCGCCGGAUCGCCGGAACGCCGCGAGCCAGGAGACCUGCCGCCGGCCGAACGAUCGG
RNAcentral lists this non-coding RNA (260 nucleotides) under Pseudoxanthobacter soli. The record is from RNAcentral. RNAcentral also lists the same sequence under 1 other name. Lineage: Bacteria; Pseudomonadati; Pseudomonadota; Alphaproteobacteria; Hyphomicrobiales; Segnochrobactraceae.